This is a non-coding RNA of Punica granatum (pomegranate), 2209 nucleotides long. NCBI's taxonomy places the organism in Eukaryota, Viridiplantae, Streptophyta, Magnoliopsida, Myrtales, Lythraceae. The record is from RefSeq and is a predicted model, not a curated record.
GACUCGUCAAAAGCGGACGGUCAAUAUCUUGCCAUCGUGGAUCAUCAGAGUGACCGUCCUGACGAAGGCCUCAAUUUUGUUGUCAAUAAAGCUUUGGUGGGGAUUUUUGCUUGCACUCGUCCCAUUGUCGGCCCUCAUAACCAUCCGAAGCAUUGGAGUUAUGAAGUGCCAAAGAAUCGAGAAGGCUCUUCAACAGAUUAGGUGUUAGACUCACCCCUGCACCAUUGACUCUGCAGGCACAAAUCCCGUACCACACUCGGCCAGAGAAUUCUCGCUGGAGAAUCAUCAUGGGGCUUCAACCUAAGACUGACUGGUGAAUUUAAUUUCAUUCCCCAAUUACUGCGAAUGGCUGGAGUGCGUCCUCAUUAGAUGUGAAAACCAGCUACAAGAUACCGAUCUUCGGCACGCCAUCACCUGCUCUUUAUAUACGUACGACCGUCACAUUGAUGUGUUUCAGGCAUUUUGCGAAGCAUGGCGUCCCGAUACCAACACACUGGAGACUUCACAAGGCUCUAUCUCGAUAUCCCUUUUUGACAUUGAGAAGCUUGGGAAACUUCCAUUGAUUGGGGAGCUGUACAAGGAGAUGAUACCUUCAUAUCGUGAGCUUACUGGUUCGGACAAAAAGGGAAGAUUCUUGCCAGUACCUGUUUGCUGCCUUCUACACACUUUACAGGCAGAAUAAUAAGAGCAGACAGAUCUCUGAUGCAAAAUGGAUAAAUUUUUGGUACUUAUAAACCCAAGGAGGAACUUCCAGAGUUGGAUAAAUGGUCUUCCAAAGAAGAGGCUGUUUUUCGUGAGUUAAGCAUGAAGGAGUCCAUCAUAGCAAAAUGGAUAAGUUUUUGGUUUCGAGGUAGGACGUGCUACCAGAAACCUCCUGCUAGGCGAAUGAGGAAAUUGCGCCCGUAGGACACUUAUAACCCCAAGGGGGAACUUCCAGAGUUUGAUAAAUGGUCUUCCAAAGAAGAUGUUGUUUUUUCGUGAGUUGACCGUGAAGGAGUCCGUCAUAGCAAAAUGGAUAAAUUUUUGGUUUCGAGGUAGGAUGCGUUACCAGAAACCUCCUUCUGGGCAAACGAGGAAAUUCCGCCGUAGGACACUUUUAACCCCAAGGGGGAACUUCCAGAGUUGGAUAAAUGGUCUUCCGAAGAAGAGGUUGUUAAUCGUGAGCUUACUGGUUCGGACAAAAAGGGAAGGUUCUUGCUAGUACCAGUUUGCUGCCUUCUACACACUUUACAGGCAGAAUAGUAAGAGCAGACAGAUCUCCGCUGAAAAAUGGAUAAAUUUUUGGUUUCAGGUUGUUUUCCUUGAACCGUCUGAGGCACGAGCUGCUUUUGAAGGGCUGGCAUACAAACGAUACAAGGAUGGUCCGUUGUACUUGGAAUGGGCUCUUGGCAAUAUUCUGAAUCCAGUCCCAUCAGAUGGCAAUCAAAAUAAUGGUCCUGUGGUAGGUGACCAUGAUGCUAACAGAGUCCUAUUGAAGCAACAUGCAGGACUGUCAGAUGCGGAUAUUGAUCCUGACAGAAUCGAGAUAAAGCAGCACAUGAAAAAUGGCAAGCUUGUCUCGAUGGGAUUCGGGUUUAUAGAGUUUGAUUCUGUGGAGACUGCUACAAACAUUUGUCAGGAUUUACAGAUGGUCAUGCCCUUGCAUUGCAACACUCUCUAGUGAAGAAGGAGGAAGAAGUUUCAAACAAGGCAGAGAAGGAUAAGAGUUCAACCAAAUUGCUCGUAAGAAAUGUUGCUUUUGAGGGUACCGAGAAAGAUCUUAGAAAGCUGUUUAGUCCCUUUGGGAAGAUCAAGAGCUUGAGACUCCCGAUGAAAUUUGGAAGUCACACCGAGGAUUUGCAUUCGAGGAAUUCGUCACAAAACAAGAGGCGAGGCGCAGAAUGCUCUCAAGGCCCUGUCCAACACUCACCUUUACAGCCGUCAUCUGGUUCUGGAGAGAGCAAAAGAAGGUGAGAGCUUAGAAGAGUUACGGGCUCGGGCAGCUGCUCAAUUCACUGACGACCAAAAUGGGCACCAAAAUCCAGCCAAGUUGUCGAGAAAGAGGAAACACAUGGCCGUUCUGGAUGAAGGCAGAGUGAAGUUCGAGAGAACACAGUUUUGCUUGUUCAAUGCCACUAAUGGAUUCGUAGACCGUUCACUUAUUCUUGUAGGAUGAUAAGUUUUUGCUAAAUGAUCCAUGCGGAUGACUCCUUCAGAGUUCGGGGGCUGA